CCUACGGGGGGCUGCAGUGGGGAAUAUUGCACAAUGGGGGAAACCCUGAUGCAGCGACGCCGCGUGAGUGAUGAAGUAUUUCGGUAUGUAAAGCUCUAUCAGCAAGGAAGAUAAUGACGGUACUUGACUAAGAAGCCCCGGCUAACUACGUGCCAGCAGCCGCGGUAAUACGUAGGGGGCAAGCGUUAUCCGGAUUUACUGGGUGUAAAGGGAGCGUAGACGGUAUGGUAAGUCAGAUGUGAAAGCCCAGGGCUUAACCCUGGAACUGCAUUUGAAACUAUCAAACUAGAGUGUCGGAGAGGUAAGUGGAAUUCCUAGUGUAGCGGUGAAAUGCGUAGAUAUUAGGAGGAACACCAGUGGCGAAGGCGGCUUACUGGACGAUAACUGACGUUGAGGCUCGAAAGCGUGGGGAGCAAACAGGAUUAGAUACCCCAGUAGUC
This 440-nucleotide ribosomal RNA is filed under the name uncultured Lachnospiraceae bacterium. Its description in RNAcentral is "bacterial SSU rRNA". It matches the Rfam family "Bacterial small subunit ribosomal RNA", at positions 338 to 795 of the family's 1533-position model. The record is from RNAcentral. Lineage: Bacteria; Bacillati; Bacillota; Clostridia; Lachnospirales; Lachnospiraceae.